Molecule: ribosomal RNA, 487 nt
Filed under: uncultured bacterium
Lineage: Bacteria
Description: bacterial SSU rRNA
Rfam family: Bacterial small subunit ribosomal RNA
Source: RNAcentral
GACGAACGCUGGCGGCGUGCUUAACACAUGCAAGUCGAGCGAGGCUCGCUCCUUCGGGAGCGAUGCCCUAGCGGCGAACGGGUGAGUAACACGUGGGCAACCUGCCCCUAGCACUGGGAUAACUCCGGGAAACCGGGGCUAAUACCGGAUACGACCUCGGGAGGCAUCUCCCGUGGUGGAAAGGUUUUCUGGCUAGGGAUGGGCCCGCGGCCUAUCAGCUUGUUGGUGGGGUAACGGCCCACCAAGGCGACGACGGGUAGCCGGCCUGAGAGGGCGACCGGCCACACUGGGACUGAGACACGGCCCAGACUCCUACGGGAGGCAGCAGUGGGGAAUAUUGCACAAUGGGCGAAAGCCUGAUGCAGCGACGCCGCGUGAGGGAUGACGGCCUUCGGGUUGUAAACCUCUUUCAGCUCCGACGAAGCGAAAGUGACGGUAGGAGCAGAAGAAGCACCGGCCAACUACGUGCCAGCCGCCGCGGUAACAC